This 525-nucleotide ribosomal RNA is filed under the name uncultured soil bacterium. Its description in RNAcentral is "bacterial SSU rRNA". It matches the Rfam family "Bacterial small subunit ribosomal RNA", at positions 955 to 1482 of the family's 1533-position model. The record is from RNAcentral.
CGCAACGCGCAGAACCUUACCCAGGUUUGACAUCCCGUGCCACGCUCAGAGAUGGGCGGUCCCCGCAAGGGGCGCGGAGACAGGUGCUGCAUGGCUGUCGUCAGCUCGUGUCGUGAGAUGUUGGGUUAAGUCCCGCAACGAGCGCAACCCUCUCCUUUAGUUGCCAUCAUUCAGUUGGGCACUCUAAAGGGACCGCCGGCGACAAGCCGGAGGAAGGUGGGGAUGACGUCAAGUCCUCAUGGCCCUUACACCCUGGGCUACACACGUGCUACAAUGGCGGUGACAGUGGGCAGCUACCACGCGAGUGGAAGCGAAUCCCCAAAAACCGUCCCAGUUCAGAUUGCACUCUGCAACUCGAGUGCAUGAAGGCGGAAUCGCUAGUAAUCGCAGAACAGCAGGCUGCGGUGAAUACGUUCCCGGGCCUUGUACACACCGCCCGUCACACCAUGGGAGUUGGUUCUACCUGAAGACGGUGCGCUAACCGCAAGGAGGCAGCCGGCCACGGUAGGGUCAGCGACUGGGGUG